GGAGUUGUAGCUCAGUGGUAGAGCACUUACCUCGUACAUGUAAGGCACUAGGUUUGAUCCUCAGUUCCA
Molecule: transfer RNA, 69 nt
Filed under: Urocitellus parryii (Arctic ground squirrel)
Lineage: Eukaryota; Metazoa; Chordata; Mammalia; Rodentia; Sciuridae
Also listed under: 1 other name
Description: Spermophilus parryii (Arctic ground squirrel) tRNA
Rfam family: tRNA
About the family: Transfer RNA (tRNA) molecules are approximately 80 nucleotides in length.
Source: Rfam by way of RNAcentral